AACGAACGCUGGCGGCAGGCUUAACACAUGCAAGUCGAGCGCCCCGCAAGGGGAGCGGCAGACGGGUGAGUAACGCGUGGGAAUCUACCCAUCUCUACGGAACAACUCCGGGAAACUGGAGCUAAUACCGUAUACGUCCUAAGGGAGAAAGAUUUAUCGGAGAUGGAUGAGCCCGCGUUGGAUUAGCUAGUUGGUGGGGUAAUGGCCUACCAAGGCGACGAUCCAUAGCUGGUCUGAGAGGAUGAUCAGCCACACUGGGACUGAGACACGGCCCAGACUCCUACGGGAGCAGCAGUGGGGAAUAUUGGACAAUGGGCGCAAGCCUGAUCCAGCCAUGCCGCGUGAGUGAUGAAGGCCCUAGGGUUGUAAAGCUCUUUCAACGGUGAAGAUAAUGACGGUAACCGUAGAAGAAGCCCCGGCUAACUUCGUGCCAGCAGCCGCGGU
RNAcentral lists this ribosomal RNA (444 nucleotides) under uncultured bacterium. Its description in RNAcentral is "bacterial SSU rRNA". It matches the Rfam family "Bacterial small subunit ribosomal RNA", at positions 29 to 521 of the family's 1533-position model. The record is from RNAcentral.